Molecule: RNA transcript, 2184 nt
Organism: Oncorhynchus keta (chum salmon)
Lineage: Eukaryota; Metazoa; Chordata; Actinopteri; Salmoniformes; Salmonidae
Gene name: elongation factor 1-alpha 1-like
Exons: 8
Source: RefSeq, a predicted model, not a curated record
GCCAAUAGCGCCAGAACCCACUACUGGGUCCCUAAUAAUAAACUAGACAGCAUCUUUUGCUACACGAUCACUGGCCGAAUUAUUACGAGCGCAUCUACACAAACCCAGGUAUGAUACCAUUUUAGCUAACAACAAGCUAAAGUAUUAACCAACCAUGGUCUGCAUUUUUAAACGUGUGCUGUGAAAGGAUGGUCGGACGAGCUAUGGGCAAGGAGAAGCUUCACAUCAACAUCGUGGUGAUCGGCCAUGUGGACUCAGGCAAGUCGACCACCACAGGCCACCUCAUCUAUAAGUGUGGGGGCAUCGACAAGAGGACCAUUGAGAAGUUUGAGAAGGAGGCCGCUGAGAUGGGGAAGGGCUCGUUCAAGUACGCCUGGGUGCUGGACAAGCUGAAGGCAGAGAGGGAGCGAGGCAUCACCAUCGACAUCUCCCUGUGGAAGUUUGAGACCAGCAGGUACUACGUCACCAUCAUCGACGCCCCGGGACACAGGGACUUCAUCAAGAACAUGAUCACUGGCACCUCUCAGGCGGACUGUGCCGUGCUCAUCGUGGCGGCGGGCGUGGGCGAGUUCGAGGCGGGCAUCUCCAAGAAUGGGCAAACCCGCGAGCACGCCCUUCUGGCCUACACCCUAGGGGUCAAGCAGCUGAUCGUAGGGGUCAACAAGAUGGACUCCACCGAGCCCAACUACAGCCAGAAACGCUACGAGGAGAUUGUGAAGGAAGUCAGCACCUAUAUUAAGAAGAUUGGUUACAACCCGGAUACGGUGGCCUUCGUUCCCAUCUCCGGCUGGAAUGGGGACAAUAUGCUGGAGGCUAGCCCUAACAUGACAUGGUUCAAAGGGUGGAAGGUCACUCGUAAGGACGGCAACGCCUCUGGGACCACCCUGCUGGAGGCCCUGGAUGCCAUCCAGCCGCCCUCCCGCCCCACUGACAAACCCCUCCGCCUGCCCCUACAGGACGUCUACAAGAUAGGGGGUAUUGGUACGGUCCCUGUGGGGCGGGGAUAGGAGAGUGGAGACGGGCGUGAUAAAGCCAGGCAUGGUGGUGACUUUUGCCCCCGUCAAUGUGACCACGGAGGUCAAGUCAGUGGAGAUGCACCACGAGGCGCUGACCGAGGCCAUGCCCGGAGACAACGUGGGCUUUAACGUCAAGAACGUGUCGGUAAAAGACAUACGGCGAGGGAACGUGGCUGGAGACAGUAAGAACGACCCGCCGAUGGAGGUGGCCAGCUUCACUGCACAGGUCAUCAUCCUGAACCACCCAGGUCAGAUCAGUGCCGGCUACGCCCCCGUGCUGGACUGCCACACGGCCCACAUCGCCUGUAAGUUCGCUGAGCUGAAGGAGAAGAUUGACCGGCGCUCGGGCAAGAAGCUGGAGGACAACCCCAAGGCCCUGAAGUCUGGCGACGCAGCCAUCGUUGCCAUGGUCCCCGGGAAGCCCAUGUGUGUGGAGAGCUUCUCCGAGUACCCACCACUUGGGCGCUUUGCGGUGCGUGACAUGCGUCAGACGGUGGCGGUGGGCGUGAUCAAGGCGGUGGAGAAGAAGGCUCCGUCCACGGGCAAGGUCACCAAGUCGGCACAGAAGGCCCAGAAGGUCAAAUGAACGUUGUGUUGGGCUCGCGACGUUAGCGUCCGCCACCGUGAAAACAUCACCCCCCUGCUACACACCAUAGUCAAAGUCUGGUCCAUGCUCACGAUGCAUCGCAAGAGCAGACGGAGGAAAACAAUGUCAUGGUAUAUUUAUUAAGGAAGUUUUCUGUUUUAUAUAUAUAUAUGUUUUGGACUGCUUGUUUGACUGUUUGUGGUUAGGAUACACUAUCUGAGUAGAAGACCAUUUAAAUAACUCCUCUAGAUGUGUGCUAUUGUACUCAGUUAAACGUCAAAAAUGUUAUUGAUAGUGUUGGUUUGCAUUAAACUAGCUGCUAGUUAAUGUUAGUAAAAACGCACAAACAUUUUUAGGUCGAUAAAAUGUUGAAAUGGUGUUGUGUUUUCCUAUGGCUGCUUGCAUGUUCCCAAUGCACUUUAAGAAAUAUAUCCGAUACUAACACAUUAUAGCACUUUGCUUGGCUUAAAAGCUCCCUUGCACUGUUCAAACCUUGUCGACACUGUUCCCUCGAAACCUUAUUGUAUGCAACCUGUGAGCUUGAUCUAUAUCAAAAGACAUUAAAAAAAGGUUUCAAACUUA